Molecule: ribosomal RNA, 79 nt
Filed under: Timarcha aurichalcea
Lineage: Eukaryota; Metazoa; Arthropoda; Insecta; Coleoptera; Chrysomelidae
Also listed under: 17 other names
Description: partial 5.8S ribosomal RNA
Source: RNAcentral
UAAUUGCGCGUCAACUUGUGAACUGCAGGACACAUGAACAUCGACAUUUCGAACGCACAUUGCGGUCCUCGGAUACUGU